AGAGGUGCCCAAGCUGCUUCAAUAGGACAGGCAGCCAGGCAUUGGUACCAAUGCCUGACUGCCUAGACUCUUGUUCCAGGGCUACACAGACCCCCGCCACCCCACCCUGGCUGAGCUGCUACAGCUGCCCCUGUCCACCAUGGGAGAGCUCGAGACCUGGGCCGCGCUCGAGGGAGGACACCUCAUCUCUUCUCCCUUUCCUUUUCUUGUCUCUGAGGCUCUUCAAAAAUUGCUUUGAAACCUGGAGCUGGAGUGAAGUGUCGGGACAAGAGGAGUCCUUUAAGUACGUCACAGAGAAGAUGUCUCCCAGGGACCACAUAUCCACCCCAGCCUCACUGCCUCCAGGGCCAGGAUUCAGGCCUCUGAGGAGCCCUUGGGGCCAAGCGGCUGGGCCAGUGGCACUCCAUGGGGCAGAGGUAGAAAGAUGGAGGGCAAGGGAGUCGGAAGGCAGAGCAGGAGGGCUGGGAACACUAUAAAGCCUCCAUCUGAUGUGCCUGGGCAGCGGACAUGGUUGGACAGUACCUGAGAGAAGGUAGGCUCCAGCUGGGAGUAGACAGACAGACAGCAGCUGGACCUGAAGGGUUGAUGCCAAAGCAGACGUUUCCUUCACACCACCUGCUGCUGUAUAAUAGCUAUAUAUCUGUUUUUCCAUAAGAUUUUGAUAAUAUAUACAAACCUUUAGCUGCGAGUGGCUA
RNAcentral lists this long non-coding RNA (695 nucleotides) under Rattus norvegicus (Norway rat). Its description in RNAcentral is "long non-coding RNA NONRATT008239". Lineage: Eukaryota; Metazoa; Chordata; Mammalia; Rodentia; Muridae. The record is from RNAcentral.